This 449-nucleotide ribosomal RNA is filed under the name uncultured organism. RNAcentral's name for it is "partial 16S ribosomal RNA". It matches the Rfam family "Bacterial small subunit ribosomal RNA", at positions 335 to 798 of the family's 1533-position model. The record is from RNAcentral.
ACUCCUACGGGAGGCAGCAGUGGGGAAUUUUACGCAAUGGGGGAAACCCUGACGUAGCGACACCGCGUGAGCGAAGAAGCCCUUUGGGGUGUAAAGCUCUGUCAGCUGGAACGAAAACAAUGACGGUACCAGCAGAGGAAGCAUCGGCUAACUACGUGCCAGCAGCCGCGGUAAGACGUAGGAUGCGAGCGUUGUCCGGAUUUAUUGGGCGUAAAGAGUUCGUAGGUGGUUUGUUAAGUUUGGUGUUAAAGAUCGGGGCUCAACCCUGGGACUGCACUGAAUACUGGCAGACUCGAGUGUGGUAGAGGCUAGUGGAAUUCCCAGUGUAGCGGUGAAAUGCGUAGAUAUUGGGAAGAACACCGGUGGCGUAGGCGACUAGCUGGGCCAUAACUGACGCUGAGGAACGAAAGCCAGGGGAGCGAAUGGGAUUAGAAACCCCAGUAGUCCCA